AUUGAACGCUGGCGGCAGGCCUAACACAUGCAAGUCGAGCGGAUGAAGGGAGCUUGCUCCUGGAUUCAGCGGCGGACGGGUGAGUAAUGCCUAGGAAUCUGCCUGGUAGUGGGGGAUAACGUCCGGAAACGGGCGCUAAUACCGCAUACGUCCUGAGGGAGCAAGUGGGGGAUCUUCGGACCUCACGCUAUCAGAUGAGCCUAGGUCGGAUUAGCUAGUUGGUGGGGUAAAGGCCUACCAAGGCGACGAUCCGUAACUGGUCUGAGAGGAUGAUCAGUCACACUGGAACUGGGACACGGUCCAGACGACUACGGGGGGCAGCAGUGGGGAAUAUUGGACAAUGGGCGAAAGCAUGAUACAGCCAUGCCGCGUGUGUGAAGAAGGUCUUCGGAUUGUAAAGCACUUUAAGUUGGGAGGAAGGGCAGUAAGUUAAUACCUUGCUGUUUUGACGUUACCAACAGAAUAAGCACCGGCUAACUUCGUG
Molecule: ribosomal RNA, 484 nt
Filed under: uncultured bacterium
Lineage: Bacteria
Description: partial 16S ribosomal RNA
Rfam family: Bacterial small subunit ribosomal RNA
Source: RNAcentral